This is a long non-coding RNA of Bos taurus (domestic cattle), 1567 nucleotides long. The record is from Ensembl. NCBI's taxonomy places the organism in Eukaryota, Metazoa, Chordata, Mammalia, Artiodactyla, Bovidae.
AAAACAGCAGGCCUAGAACCGGUAACUUGGCAACUAACUCUCAUACCUUAAAGUCCAGAUCCAUCCAAUUAUUCUCCAAUCUAUACAAAGGAAGAAUGAGAAAAAGUCCUAGAAUGCGGCUUCAACAGAGGUCUGGGAGGCCUUGGGUGGCUAGUUAAUGAAAAUGAGCAGUACUUCUUUCCCCCAACUGCAGCUUGUCAAGCCAUCAGGGAGGCUCAUCUUGGAACUCAGUAGGGAAGCAAAGCCCUUUAAAACUGGUUAUUUGAGAUCAGGGUAACUUCUGGAAUGAAACAUACAAUCAGUCUGGAGAGCUGAGACCAGCUCCAUCUGCACACAAACAACCCAACACCAGACCCCAUAUAAGGAGGCCCCCAGAUAAGGCCCAUUCAGACCAGAGAAACAUGUUCUGGGAAAGACUGGCGGAUUUCACUGUCAUGCCCAGAAUACCUGGCAAUUUCAGGCACCUCUUGGUGCUGGCAGACACAUUAUCUGGGUGGGACAGGAAAGUGUAUCCUGCUAGAAGUGAAACAGCAGCUCAAGUAGCUACAGGCACUACUAAAAGAAAUAAUCCCACCCCUGCCACCCUGGUCUGGGUUCCAGGAUCCUUGGAAAGUGAUAGUGGUCCAGCAUUUGUGUCUCAAGUGACUAAGUGAAUGAGUACCCUGGUCAUAAAGUGGACCUUGCACUCAGCUUGGAGACUCCAAUCUUUCGUGAAAGUUGAGGGAGCCAAUCAGACCUGAAAAUGAACCUCAGGUGGGCUGUGCCAGGAGACUCGGAAAAAUUAGAUGCAGCUGCUUCCAACUGCCCGGCUCGCAAGCAGCUAGCCCCAAACAGUCAGGUAAAGUUCAGUGUGUUAGAGCUCACAGAUAGAAAACCCAUUCCUCAAGCUUGAGACAAGGGACACCUGAGCCCCCCGAAAUGGAACAACUCAAACGUGCCCUCCAGGCCAGACAAACUCCAAAAGCUCUCAUGGAAUGUGGUGACCAGAAAACAAAACACAACCAAAGCUUGACCAGGAAGAGUCCACCGCGGCAGCAAGCCUCCACACCACAGCAGGCUUGCCUGCAGGCUGAAGACCGAGAGAGCUUCACUUUUAGGAAAAACCUGCGACCAUGUGCUGCUGCUAAUCUCUGGGCCACGCACUCUCAAUUGUCAGGCUUCCUUUGUCUCUCAGUAGACAAACUGAGGCCGCUCCGGGGAUAAACAGUCAGGGCCGAGGCCUACUGACCACCCUACAGGCCUGAAGGCAGCUAGGGCAAUUCUAGGGGCAUUCAAGGGGAGCUCUGCACCUCCACAGAAGAUGCCCUAAGCCCCGAGGGCCUCCUGACAGUGAGGAGCAGGACAACGAAAGACAAGCGGAGCCCUUUGUCACCCGCAAAGCCCGUGAACAAUUCCAAGGAAAUAAGUCUAACCUUUUUUCCUUAGGAUUUGGUCUGGUUUCACUUCCUCCACGGAGGGAGCUGCAGGCGCCUGACAGACGCCUUACUCCAGGCACUUCAGGCCAGACCUCCUACUGCAAAAUGGUGGGGCGACUUGCAGAGAUGUUGCCCACAAGGCACUGCGGGGG